UCGUGAAGACACGUCCAGAGAAGACACCAUGACACCAUGACUCUGCUCCAAGUUUAAUAUAUCCUUUACGGAGAAGGGAGUGGACGUGCUGGGGCUGGGAAACAUUGCCAAGAAGUCCACAAAAAAAGGAAAGAAACCCAAUUAACCUGUCAUAUGGAAGCAACAGGAAGACGUCAACAAACUUCCUCUCCUUACUGAACUUUUUUCUUUCUUGGCCUCCCUCUCCUGUACCGGUGACGUCGCGAGGAGGAGGGAGGGUGGGGAGCCAGUGGGACCCUCCGUGUGGAGCCAUUGGUUCUCCCAUUUCAUGACGGGAAGUGAUGUCUGGAACAUACGAGCGUCCAAAAAGAAUCGAGGUGAGCAGACACCAGGAUGGGAGCGUGAACACAGAAUCUGAAACCAUAGAGCGACACACACUCGGCUGUCUGCCUCCGACAGAUUCUGGAGCCACUGUCUGCCUUAUCAGGACGUGAUAACAGAUGACAACAAACCUGCACACACACACACACACACACACACACCCACCCACCCACCCACCCACGCUGCAGGACAGGUUAUCCUGCAAGAAGUGUCACAUGUGACACCCUCUGUUUAAACCGUUAAAUCUGCCCUUUAGCUUUUUAAUUUUCCCACCGCGAAGAUGUUUUUUGUUUUUUCGAUUGCAAGACUUAAAGUUCUCCAGCCGCGCGUUCUUUAUCAUAGCAUCUAAUGAGAUGAUGGCGAGCACAAGAUUAGCAUAUACUGUUUAUAGAGGACAAUAACAAGGUACAAAUCAUCUGGCCGUGCAGCAGUAAAACAAGAGACGAGUGUGCGCCAUGACGCACGGCCUUCACGCGCGCCUUCCCCCCGCGCGGUUGGCACUAAAACCUGCUAUUAAUGCCUGUGGAGACGGUCACAGGAGACAGACAGUAUUAUCGUUUGUUUUAUCUUCAGCGUUUAGCGCAGCCACGGGGUAAAUGGGUCCCCCUGUCUCCGACCCGGCGAUGGUGUUUAUAGUUUUGAAGACUAUUUGUGCGCGUCGCCAGCUGAUGAAUGGCCGUGGAGUCUCUCCCGGGCGCGCCGAGAAGUCAACACGGGCCCCGGCUCUCGCUGUAAUAAUUGGGGAAAUAAAGUAAACGCGUGCAGGGCGGGAGACACACGGGACGCGGUGGACAUGUUUUCAUCGUGAUUAAUUUCCACUGGGCCCUGCGCAGUUUGAGUGUGAUGUUUAGGUGGAUUUUUUGGGGGGGAAAGGAAAUUCAAAAUUCAAACGAUUAAUCCCGCAGGGCAGAGUAUUCGGCGAAUUAAACAUACACACCGCCACUCGUGCCGGAUGGUAAACUAUAUUCUGUCAGCGGUAAAUUGGACAUGACACGUCUGGCAUGUGUUUCACAUCCCUAAUGCCUCGUCCUGCAGCAGCAGCCGCAGCGCCGUUCCCCCUUUGACCUGUCUUUCUGCAGCACAUCUCCAGCUCAGAUAAUGCUGCAGAUAAGGUUGCUUAAAAACUUCCGCUGCACGAACGUGUGGGUAUUUUGAGGGUUGCGUGUCGGAGUGAGGAGCCCCCUCCGAGCGCGUGCGCGUGAGAGAGAGAGAGAGAGAGAGAGAGAGAGAGAGAGAGAGAGAGAGAGAGAGAGAAAGAAAAUGAAGUGUCCUGUCUUUUCUAAAAGCUCCUGUUGGACGCCGCCUUGGUACUCUCUCUGCCCCGAAGGCCCUUAGGGCGAUUUUCAUCCAUUAACUGUUCGACAAUUAGACCGACUGGGACUGAACAGGCUCGUUAAGAUACAAUCAGAUAAUCCCAUUGAGAAUGUCACACAGCAACACUUUCUCCACAAAUGCUCACUCGUCCUACCCGUUCGGAGAAAUGUCCGUGCGUCACAGUCGUACAUAGAAGAUGUGGUAGUGUUAGAGACAAUAUCACAAUUCCAGCAUUCAAAAACUUUGCAUGUGCAAAAGCGCACGAAUAUAAGUUGUAAAAUGUUAAAGGAGCCUCCUCUCUCUGAGGACCCAGCGUCCCGUUAACGAUGCAUUCUUUCUUAAGUGUGUUAAGGUUUGAGGUCCUUCAGGUUUUCAGCUUGAAUUAUUGGCUUGUUUAAAGGGAUUUUACAAUGUAUGUUAUAAGUAAUUUAAGGUAACUUCAUCUGUAAAAAAAAGAAUAAAUAAACAUCUGCCUA
Long non-coding RNA from Scophthalmus maximus (turbot), 2150 nucleotides. RefSeq lists it as uncharacterized. Lineage: Eukaryota; Metazoa; Chordata; Actinopteri; Pleuronectiformes; Scophthalmidae. The record is from RefSeq and is a predicted model, not a curated record. The transcript is spliced from 3 exons.